AUGCUUGUUCCUGCAGCACAUAUACCAGAACUGUAACAGCACGGAGAAGAUUGGCAUGGUCCCUGCAUAAAGAUGGCAUGCAAGCUUCUGAAGUAUUCUGUAUUAUU
Small nuclear RNA from Acomys russatus (golden spiny mouse), 107 nucleotides. The record is from RefSeq and is a predicted model, not a curated record. NCBI's taxonomy places the organism in Eukaryota, Metazoa, Chordata, Mammalia, Rodentia, Muridae.